Long non-coding RNA from Culex pipiens pallens (northern house mosquito), 2378 nucleotides. RefSeq lists it as uncharacterized. The record is from RefSeq and is a predicted model, not a curated record. The transcript is spliced from 4 exons. Lineage: Eukaryota; Metazoa; Arthropoda; Insecta; Diptera; Culicidae.
GUCGACCCGACUGUUUGUGUGCGUACGGAUUCGCACAUUUUGGCACACUGCCUUUUUCGUAACGAGCCCGGUUGAAAGUGAAAACGUCGGGGCUUCAGUCGACUAGGUUACGGUGCGCCGCGUGGAUCGCCAAGUUCUGCCGACUGACACGAGCUGACGAGCGAGAUUUGCGUUGACCUACUUUCGGGGCGGUGCGUUAUCAAGAGUGACCUCAAUUUCGGCGAUAUUUGCGGGAUUGCGGGUGGAAUAUCUACGCGAAACCGAGUUCAAAAUCCCGCAGUCCGACCCUGGCGUGGGGGUUCUAGCGCGCGCGUGAGUUCUUCACCGGUCGCCAUUUUCGGAUUUGCCGUCACGAUGCGGAUUGGAGGUUUUGGACCGUUUCUGGACCAGAUUUGGGACAUCCCAGGUCGCGUUGAAGGUUGCAAACGAUUUUAGGACCGGAUUUUGGCAAGAUCCCCCAGGAAAUGGACCCGUUUCAAGCUGUCCAGCGCCCUGCUGACGUCACAACAACCAGCGUGACGCUGUGUGCGUGAGCGGCCAAGUUUAGGACGGAACUACACUCCUUGGAGGACAUCCGAGGCGCUUUGGAGUUGCUCCGCAACUUCAGGACUGCAAUUCGGAAAGACACCGCCGGAAAUGGAUUGAUUCCAACCUGUUCAGCGUUCGUCGUGACGUCACGGCAGUGUGACGUCUCAACUCAGCGUUGUUGUCUGCGUGAGUUGCAAGUGUUAAGGUGAAGGCCUUACCGGGACACUUCCUGGAGAUCCGCUGCGCGCGACUUCAAUCUCCACAAAAAGGUUCUGCCACUUGCCACCGACUCCAGCGGCACCGAACUCAACUUCCGACAGCUCAACAGGUCACAAACCGGGAACCGGAGAUCCACAAAAGAGGCGGCAGCUCUAGUUUUUGCGUUACGCGCUAGCAGGAACUGACUGACUUGAAUUGAACAACUAGAAGCGUGAGCAACACCCGUGGUAUGUGAGCCGCCGCGGUGUGAGAUGAACGUGAGCAGCAAACGGUAGGUGGACGAGCAACCAGUACCUGCUGCUGCCGCCACUUCCCGGUUUCUUUGUGGUUUAAUUAUAACCGUGGGACGUGACCCCCGGGACAUUCUACCGAAGAGUACAACCCCAACUGCAGCUGUUUGAAAUGGUACGGCGGUGCAAUCGGACAGUCACAAAGGAAUGACAGGUUGCCUGAUUGCCAAAACAACUCGAGGACACAAGCAAUAUCUGACGGAGACGCAUGAUACUUCGUUCGCUACAAUCCUAGCGAAGUCAGCUUACUCUAAUCGCAAUGCAGUUGCACGAGCCAAACUCAGCUGAUAACACAGUUCCCAGCUGAUUAGCCUGCGUGAUUACGGGAACUCGUGCACCCCCGGACUAGAGACAUGUCCAGCAUCAUUGUAAACGAAACCGGUUCGCGCACCCUAAAUAGCACAACACCAAGCCAGUUUCCAUCCUCGCAGUCCGUCACCCUUAAUAGUUGAAACUAGUUUACCCGCAGACUAGUCACAAACCUCUGUGAGAGGUGAACAAAAAAACUCAUCCCGUGUAGUCCUGCGAAAAACCUUUAGCCAAAUUAGAAGGCAGUCGAAAAAAAAAACGAUUUAAAGGGUCUUCUCCCUUUCGGGACAGGUUGAUGCAGCUGGGUUUUGUUUUGCCCAAAUUCCUAGAAUUUGGGAUGAUCCCGGCGCAGCCGUGGAAUGCACCUUCAACGCCUUGAUCUUCUUUAAUCGCCCGGAUCGCGUCCGCAAGACUAUAAUUUUAAGCGAGGGGGUCAACGACGUUCGGAGCCCAAAACACGUGUUUUCUCUGUGCAUGCAACGCGCCCGACGCCAUCGACGGUGUCGGGCCCCGGAACCAACCAAUACAACCGGCCUCCGCCACCGUGUGCAUUAUCUGACGUUUGUGCACCAACAUUUGCAGCAAUUGUGCACGGCGGCUGCUGCAUGUGUAUUGAUGCACUUUCGCCCCGUCUCGCUCUGGCGAGAGUGAGAGAGCGCGCGCGAGCGCACACACGGCGGUUCCCGAGGGGCGCGGGGGCACUUGAAAAAUGGACGGACGGACGCGUUGCACUUUUCGGGGUUUCUUCGGCGACGACGACGGCGGUCGUCGUCGGGAAAGGCAAGAAAGAGCCGGCCGUGAGUGAGUGAGCGCGAAAAAACAAAAUGGUGGACGGCCGUCGCCGCCGAGAACGGGUUCGCAGGUUCCGGCCGGUUCCCCGGUUUUGGAGGUUAGGUCGGCGUUCCGGGGCUGAUCCAAUUUGAGGAGGCUUGCGAGCAUGGAAAAACGGGGGCGCUCACGCAAACACGCACACACAAACACGGACGUAGGCGGUGAAUUCCGAGAGACCCCCGUUGCCGCAUGGCAACAGGG